GCUGGCGGCGUGCUUAACACAUGCAAGUCGAACGAUGAAGCCCAGCUUGCUGGGUGGAUUAGUGGCGAACGGGUGAGUAACACGUGGGUGAUCUGCCCUGCACUCUGGGAUAAGCCUGGGAAACUGGGUCUAAUACCGGAUAUGACCUCGGGAUGCAUGUCCUGGGGUGGAAGUUUGGUGCAGGAUGAGCCCGCGGCCUAUCAGCUUGUUGGUGGGGUAAUGGCCUACCAAGGCGACGACGGGUAGCCGGCCUGAGAGGGCGACCGGCCACACUGGGACUGAGACACGGCCCAGACUCCUAGGGAGGCAGCAGUGGGGAAUAUUGCAAAUGGGCGCAAGCCUGAUGCAGCGACGCCGCGUGAGGGAUGACGGCCUUCGGGUUGUAAACCUCUUCACCCAUGACGAAGCGCAAGUGACGGUAGUGGGAGAAGAAGCACCGGCCAACUACGUGCCAGCAGCCGCGGUAAUACGUAGGGUGCGAGCGUUGUCCGGAAUUACUGGGCGUAAAGAGCUCGUAGGCGGUUUGUCGCGUCGUCUGUGAAAUCCCGCAGCUCAACUGCGGGCUUGCAGGCGAUACGGGCAGACUCGAGUACUGCAGGGGAGACUGGAAUUCCUGGUGUAGCGGUGAAAUGCGCAGAUAUCAGGAGGAACACCGGUGGCGAAGGCGGGUCUCUGGGCAGUAACUGACGCUGAGGAGCGAAAGCGUGGGUAGCGAACAGGAUUAGAUACCUGGUAGUCCACGCCGUAAACGGUGGCGCUAGGUGUGGGUUUCCUUCCACGGGAUCCGUGCCGUAGCCAACGCAUUAAGCGCCCCGCCUGGGAGUACGGCCGCAAGGCUAAAACUCAAAGGAAUUGACGGGGGCCCGCACAAGCGGCGGAGCAUGUGGAUUAAUUCGAUGCAACGCGAAGAACCUUACCUGGGUUUGACAUGUACCGGACGACUGCAGAGAUGUGGUUUCCCUUGUGGCCGGUAGACAGGUGGUGCAUGGCGUCGUCAGCUCGUGUCGGAGAUGUUGGGUUAAGUCCCGCAACGAGCGCAACCCUUGUCCUGUGUUGCCAGCACGUGAUGGUGGGGACUCGCAGGAGACUGCCGGGGUCAACUCGGAGGAAGGUGGGGACGACGUCAAGUCAUCAUGCCCCUUAUGUCCAGGGCUUCACACAUGCUACAAUGGUCGGUACAGAGGGCUGCAUACCGUGAGUGGAGCGAAUCCCUUAAAGCCGGUCUCAGUUCGGAUCGGGGUCUGCAACUCGACCCCGUGAAGUCGGAGUC
This 1270-nucleotide ribosomal RNA is filed under the name Rhodococcus pyridinivorans. Its description in RNAcentral is "bacterial SSU rRNA". It matches the Rfam family "Bacterial small subunit ribosomal RNA", at positions 35 to 1333 of the family's 1533-position model. Lineage: Bacteria; Bacillati; Actinomycetota; Actinomycetes; Mycobacteriales; Nocardiaceae. The record is from RNAcentral.